AAGAUAUUUUGGAAAUUUUUCCAUCUGAAAUAGCAUCAACUUGGUUCUUCCCGGCAGUGAAAGUAAAUGGGAAACAGAUCUAUCCUAAAGGUGUUUUAUAUAAUAAAUACGUCAGUAUUGGAAAGAAAUAUCGAGCUAGUGGCUCGCGUAGUGGUACUCACUUGGGAAGUAUAACCACUGUUCCUAUACAAACGGAAGAUGUUGCUUUAUGUUUGAGUUGGCUAAAGACUAGCGAUGAGCCUUGGAGUCAAGUUGAAAAGCACUGAAAAAUCACUGCAAAUUAUCGGCUUGAAGUCUUAAGAAGCGAAACUGUAAUAGUGGGGAGAAAACACAAAAACUAAGCAAGGAGAAAUAUUUUUGUCAUAAAGUUUUUCAAUAUAUCUCUUUACAUCCAGUUCUUCUACAAAACGACGGAUAUAAAUU
Long non-coding RNA from Wasmannia auropunctata (little fire ant), 423 nucleotides. RefSeq lists it as uncharacterized. NCBI's taxonomy places the organism in Eukaryota, Metazoa, Arthropoda, Insecta, Hymenoptera, Formicidae. The transcript has 3 exons. The record is from RefSeq and is a predicted model, not a curated record.